Molecule: long non-coding RNA, 339 nt
Filed under: Salarias fasciatus (jewelled blenny)
Lineage: Eukaryota; Metazoa; Chordata; Actinopteri; Blenniiformes; Blenniidae
Description: lncRNA (ENSSFAG00005001083.1)
Source: RNAcentral
UGAAGGAGAGAGCAGAAGAAGAGCGGGAGUGUGAUUACUGUCUGUUUACUGUUAUUACAGGAGAAUGGCCGACCUGGGGGACAUCAGCAACCACAUCCAGGACAGCAUAUCUUCCUUAAGAUUCCUCCUGGACCUGUCACUACUGGAUUCACCGCAAGUGAAGAUGGAGAAACUCGAAGAAGGACUCUGUGUGCUUGAGAGACAUCUGGAGAGGUUUGAAAGCUGUGUUGAGAAACAGGAAGAGCACCUGAAAGAUCUGAAGGAACUUGAGAAGUUGAGUCAGAUGUAUUUGGAAGACGUUGAGCGCAUGAAGGACAAUGUGCCUCCGCACAUGCCUCA